RNAcentral lists this ribosomal RNA (250 nucleotides) under uncultured bacterium. RNAcentral's name for it is "partial 16S ribosomal RNA". It matches the Rfam family "Bacterial small subunit ribosomal RNA", at positions 8 to 239 of the family's 1533-position model. The record is from RNAcentral.
AUAGUUUGAUCAUGGCUCAGGACGAACGCUGGCGGCGUGCCUAACACAUGCAAGUCGAACGGAACUUCUUUAAAAGAUUUCUUCGGAAUGAUUUUGAUUAAGUUUAGUGGCGGACGGGUGAGUAACGCGUGAGUAACCUGCCUCUGAGAGGGGAAUAACAUUCUGAAAAGAAUGCUAAUACCGCAUAAUAUAUAUUUAUCGCAUGGUAGAUAUAUCAAAGAUUUAUCGCUUAGAGAUGGACUCGCGUCCG